Molecule: non-coding RNA, 171 nt
Organism: Exophiala dermatitidis NIH/UT8656
Lineage: Eukaryota; Fungi; Ascomycota; Eurotiomycetes; Chaetothyriales; Herpotrichiellaceae
Source: the annotation of a RefSeq genome assembly
GUCCGGCUGGCGCAAUGGUAGCGCGUAAGUUCACACCUUUGAAGUCUACUUGAUGUUUGAACAAUCAAGUUAACCCCUUAUUAUAGGCCAGACUUCUAUCCUGUGAACAACUUGCACCUGUUCGACAAAACUGAAAUCUGGAGGUUGUGGGUUCGAGUCCCACGUCGGAUG